GAUGAACGCUGGCGGCGUGCUUAACACAUGCAAGUCGAACGGAAAGGCUCCUGCUUGCAGGGGUACUCGAGUGGCGAACGGGUGAGUAACACGUGGGUGAUCUGCCCUGCACUUCGGGAUAAGCCUGGGAAACUGGGUCUAAUACCGGAUAGGACGAUGGUUUGGAUGCCAUUGUGGAAAGUUUUUUCGGUGUGGGAUGAGCUCGCGGCCUAUCAGCUUGUUGGUGGGGUAAUGGUCUACCAAGGCGUCGACGGGUAGCUGGCCUGAGAGGGUGUACGGCCACAUUGGGACUGAGAUACGGCCCAGACUCCUACGGGAGGCAGCAGUGGGGAAUAUUGCACAAUGGGCGCAAGCCUGAUGCAGCGACGCCGCGUGGGGGAUGACGGCCUUCGGGUUGUAAACUCCUUUCGCUAGGGACGAAGCGCAAGUGACGGUACCUGGAGAAGAAGCACCGGCUAACUACGUG
This 466-nucleotide ribosomal RNA is filed under the name uncultured bacterium. RNAcentral's name for it is "partial 16S ribosomal RNA". It matches the Rfam family "Bacterial small subunit ribosomal RNA", at positions 28 to 507 of the family's 1533-position model. The record is from RNAcentral.